This 1372-nucleotide ribosomal RNA is filed under the name uncultured bacterium. RNAcentral's name for it is "bacterial SSU rRNA". It matches the Rfam family "Bacterial small subunit ribosomal RNA", at positions 28 to 1381 of the family's 1533-position model. The record is from RNAcentral.
GAUGAACGCUUUUGGCGUGCCUAAUACAUGCAAGUCGAGCGAACAGACAAGGAGCUUGCUCCUUUGACGUUAGCGGCGGACGGGUGAGUAACACGUGGGUAACCUACCUAUAAGACUGGGAUAACUUCGGGAAACCGGAGCUAAUACCGGAUAAUAUUUCGAACCGCAUGGUUCGAUAGUGAAAGAUGGUUUUGCUAUCACUUAUAGAUGGACCCGCGCCGUAUUAGCUAGUUGGUAAGGUAACGGCUUACCAAGGCGACGAUACGUAGCCGACCUGAGAGGGUGAUCGGCCACACUGGAACUGAGACACGGUCCAGACUCCUACGGGAGGCAGCAGUAGGGAAUCUUCCGCAAUGGGCGAAAGCCUGACGGAGCAACGCCGCGUGAGUGAUGAAGGUCUUCGGAUCGUAAAACUCUGUUAUUAGGGAAGAACAUACGUGUAAGUAACUAUGCACGUCUUGACGGUACCUAAUCAGAAAGCCACGGCUAACUACGUGCCAGCAGCCGCGGUAAUACGUAGGUGGCAAGCGUUAUCCGGAAUUAUUGGGCGUAAAGCGCGCGUAGGCGGUUUUUUAAGUCUGAUGUGAAAGCCCACGGCUCAACCGUGGAGGGUCAUUGGAAACUGGGAAACUUGAGUACAGAAGAGGAAAGUGGAAUUCCAUGUGUAGCGGUGAAAUGCGCAGAGAUAUGGAGGAACACCAGUGGCGAAGGCGACUUUCUGGUCUGUAACUGACGCUGAUGUGCGAAAGCGUGGGGAUCAAACAGGAUUAGAUACCCUGGUAGUCCACGCCGUAAACGAUGAGUGCUAAGUGUUAGGGGGUUUCCGCCCCUUAGUGCUGCAGCUAACGCAUUAAGCACUCCGCCUGGGGAGUACGACCGCAAGGUUGAAACUCAAAGGAAUUGACGGGGACCCGCACAAGCGGUGGAGCAUGUGGUUUAAUUCGAGGCAACGCGAAGAACCUUACCAAAUCUUGACAUCCUUUGACAACUCUAGAGAUAGAGCCUUCCCCUUCGGGGGACAAAGUGACAGGUGGUGCAUGGUUGUCGUCAGCUCGUGUCGUGAGAUGUUGGGUUAAGUCCCGCAACGAGCGCAACCCUUAAGCUUAGUUGCCAUCAUUAAGUUGGGCACUCUAAGUUGACUGCCGGUGACAAACCGGAGGAAGGUGGGGAUGACGUCAAAUCAUCAUGCCCCUUAUGAUUUGGGCUACACACGUGCUACAAUGGACAAUACAAAGGGCAGCGAAAUCGCGAGGUCAAGCAAAUCCCAUAAAGUUGUUCUCAGUUCGGAUUGUAGUCUGCAACUCGACUACAUGAAGCUGGAAUCGCUAGUAAUCGUAGAUCAGCAUGCUACGGUGAAUACGUUCCCGGGUCU